AUUGAACGCUGGCGGCAGGCUCAACACAUGCAAGUCGAGCGGAGUUGUGGUGCUUGCACCAUAACUUAGCGGCGGACGGGUGAGUAAUGCUUAGGAAUCUGCCUAUUAGUGGGGGACAACAUUUCGAAAGGAAUGCUAAUACCGCAUACGCCCUACGGAGGAAAGCAGGGGAUCUUCGGACCUUGUGCUAAUAGAUGAGCCUAAGUCGGAUUAGCUAGUUGGUGGGGUAAAGGCCUACCAAGGCGACGAUCUGUAGCGGGUCUGAGAGGAUGAUCCGCCACACUGGGACUGAGACACGGCCCAGACUCCUACGGGAGGCAGCGGUAGGGAAUUUUCGGCAAUGGGGGCAACCCUGACCGAGCAACGCCGCGUGAGUGAUGAAGGCCUUCGGGUUGUAAAGCUCUGUUGUAAAGGAAGAAUGGCAGAGAUAGAAUCUUUGUAUGACGGUACUUUACCAGAAAGCCACGGCUAACUACGUGCCAGCAGCCGCGGUAAUACGUAGGUGGCAAGCGUUAUCCGGAAUUAUUGGGCGUAAAGGGUGCGCAGGCGGCCAUAUAAGUCUGGGGUGAAAGACCGAAGCUCAACUUCGGUUUGCCUUGGAACUGUAUGGCUAGAGUGCAAGAGAGGACAAUGGAAUUCCAUGU
This 644-nucleotide ribosomal RNA is filed under the name uncultured bacterium. RNAcentral describes it as "bacterial SSU rRNA". It matches the Rfam family "Bacterial small subunit ribosomal RNA", at positions 28 to 674 of the family's 1533-position model. The record is from RNAcentral.